Zea mays is the source of this 1367-nucleotide RNA transcript. RefSeq lists it as uncharacterized. Lineage: Eukaryota; Viridiplantae; Streptophyta; Magnoliopsida; Poales; Poaceae. The transcript is spliced from 5 exons. The record is from RefSeq and is marked validated.
AGUCCACCACGAGCGCACGGACUUUCGAUCUAGCCGCUCGACGCUAGAGACGACGACAGCCGCAAUCAACGUACAGACCGUGUUCUGCGUGACGCAUCCCGGCGCCGACGCCGAGGACCCGCAACCGACCCGGCAGCUGAGGGAGAGCUUCAUCUCCAGCGAGAGUCGCAAACCCUCCAUGAGUUCCCCAUUCCCCAACCUUCUGAUUUUGACGCCGGGUCGUGGGCAAAUCAGGUAGAGCGGCUGCGGAUUUUGGCGCCCGGCCUCGGGAGUUUGGGAGCUUAGCGACUCCACAGUGGAAGACUGGUGGACGGCCUUUGCCCGCGCUGCGUCUUCCCCUGCUUCGCGAUGGGAGGCUCCCCUGUAUGGGACGGGACUCUGUCUCCGGACAGCUUCAACACCUCCGCGGCGGCGCUUGUUAAGAGGUGGAAGGAGAUCGAGGUCGACGAUUCCCUUCCUGAAUGGACGUGGAAGCCGUGCAGCAAAUUGGGGGUGCCGUCGGAGGUAGAAGGGUAUCUAGCCCUGGAAAGAGUGUACCGCAGCUGUGGAACAAGCCAGAGUGUUCUUCCAGGAGCAGAUCGAAGAGAUGAAGUUCGAUGGUGCAGGGGAUGUAGCUUGGGUCGAGAGCUCCAGCGACAAUGUUCAUGUUUAUGAUUUCCAUGCUGUCUACAGCUUCUCCUACAAAGUCCCAGUGCUAUACUUUCGCGGUUAUCACACUAGUGGGCAGCUACUAACUCUAGAUGAGGUAAAAGAGGGUCUUCCUUCCCACUCACAGAAAGUAUUAAGUGAAUCAAAGUGGACGUUUAUUACUCAAGAGGUAUGCCUGCUUCAUGCAUGAUCCUUGAUUUCUAUUGAAACAGAAAUUGGCUCUUGAGUCUUGGCAGUGACACGUAGAACGAACUCUGGCCUGUCGUUUGCUAACUGUGCAAGGAUUGUGUUCUACCUGGACUUGGAAUCCUGCAGGAGCACCCCCAUUUAAGCAAGCCAUGGCUGGCCCUGCACCCCUGUGCAACCAGUGGUUGGAUGAAGCUACUUCUCGAAGAAACUGAAGCGACUGAUAAGGAGCACUCGGUGCAAUAUUUACCGGCAUGGUUAUCCGUGGUUGGCCAGGCAGUAGGGCUGAAAAUCCCUCUUGAACUUCAUUCCAACUCUUAGUUUUUUUUUCACUUUUUGUAUGUCUUUCAGUAUGUAGCAGGGAUUGAAAGAGAGUCCUCAGCUUGUGUUUGGUGAUAAUAGUCACCAAUAUUUGUGACACUGGUGGCUAGACCUUGCCAUCGUGUCAUUGUUGUGGUGACUGUAUACUUUCAUUCAAUCUGCUAGCGUUUCUGUUAGACACCCUCGGGGGUAUGAAACGCUAGCGUUUUAGG